RNAcentral lists this ribosomal RNA (261 nucleotides) under uncultured prokaryote. RNAcentral's name for it is "partial 16S ribosomal RNA". It matches the Rfam family "Bacterial small subunit ribosomal RNA", at positions 524 to 784 of the family's 1533-position model. The record is from RNAcentral.
UACGGAGGAUGCGAGCGUUAUCCGGAUUUAUUGGGUUUAAAGGGUGCGUAGGCGGCUUUUUAAGUCAGCGGUGAAAUUUUGCAGCUUAACUGUAACAGUGCCGUUGAUACCGGGGAGCUAGGAUUUGGUUGCUGUGGGUGGAAUGUGUGGUGUAGCGGUGAAAUGCUUAGAGAUCACACAGAAUAUCGAUUGCGAAGGCAGCUCACAAAGCCAAGAUUGACGCUGAGGCACGAAAGUGUGGGGAUCAAACAGGAUUAGAUA